ACUUCCGGGGCACGAAGGAGGCAACGGGUUUUUUUUAAAUUUAGUUUUUUAAAAUCUCAUUUCUGUGCAUUGUCUGCCAAGAGCAUUGAUAAUGAUAGAUUUUAAAUUAUUUUUAUUAAUAAUUAUUAAUUGACCAGACUUUCAAAGUUAAUUAAAAAGCUGAAAACACUCAUUGGGGAUCUGGCAGCAUCUGUGGAGAAGUAGUUCUGAUGGAGAGUUAAGUUGGACCUGAAGCCUUAACUCUGUUUCUCUCUCCACUAAUGCUCCCAGACCUGCUGGGUUUUUCCAGUAUUUUCAAAUUUCCAUUAUCCCUGCAGUGUAUUUUGCUCUUUUUUUCGCAUUACACUUCAGAAAUACCAACUCUUCACUUGGUGUAAGGCACCUUGAGAUGCCUGGUGGCCGCAAAAGGCACCAUAUAAAAUUAGAGUGUCCAUGCGCUUACAUUGUUUUGGACAGUCCCUCGAUGAGGAUGUGACCCCAAACAAACAAUGGCCCUGAGUUCGGUUGGCAUUGACGCUGCAUGUGAAGAUUUCUGCAAUUUUUUUUUCCAUCCGGGACCUCCGAUUUCGGCUGAAGCAUCAAUGGGUCAGUGCUGACAGACACCCAUGGGCGAAGACUGUCGAGCACAAGAAAAGACAGACAAUGCGACAACAGGCCCGCUUCUCAUGAUAUUAGCUGCCAUAUUCGGAGUUGCUGCGGGGAGAUGCAGAACACACAAAUGCAAAGCAGCAGUCAACCGAAAAAGAAAUAUAAAAUGGACCAAAUUAGCCGAGGAGAAAAGGCCUUUCGACGAUCCUUGUAUGAUAUCAGCUGGGCCUCUUAAAUCCAUUUCUGUAAUGCUUAGCAAUCUUGGGCAACUGCUUUGCACAUGUUUGGCUGAUGCUUGGUGUUAACAUGACAGAAAUUAUAGAAAGUAAGUUGGAUGACGUCCCCAUAUAGUUUCAUUUAAACAACCUUACUCGUCUUAGAGUGGGCAAUUGUACCACCCGCCAGAAAUGAUAGCAAAAAAAUUUGUGCCCAUGCUAAGUUGGCUACGUAAUGGAGAUGCACUCCAUUUUAUGACACCACCGAUCUGAGGAAUUUCUGAAAAUCUUUGGCCUUUACUGGGAAAUUAGGCUCUCAUUUCCCGUGCAACAAUCAACCAUGUUGACCUCAACUUAACCUUCUGUACAUUCAAUUCCAACCCUGACCAGAUAUUUACCCUGAUUUUUAAAAUUCACUUAUAUUUGAAGACAGGAGAUGGAGAGGUAAACACAGUCUGUAUGACGACGUUGGGAUGAAUUGAAACAUUGAAAAACCAGAGCGGGAGGCAUAAAUAAACACAUUGAAGGGUUGGAAAUAGAAAAAGAAGCAAAGCCGAUGUAGCGACAUGAUUAUUUGUUUCUUAGCUCACCAGGAAUAGAAACUAACUGGUUCCAGAACAGUUAGUAAGUGGAAUUUUCCAGCCCUGAUCUACUUUUACAUCCUACACAUUAAAUCAUGCGAUACAAGAUAAGAAGUUAAUGCACAUUGCACAAUAAUCCAUCAGCCACAAAGUCACAUGUCUAGUUUACAGAGGCACUGUUUCACAACCAGUCCCUCUUUUUAGAAUCAAUUGUAAUGAAUCUAUUGGAGUUUUCAUUUUCAUCACUGCCCCCUCUCUCUUUAUUCCUUCAAGGCAUCAUGCCCCACGGAUAAUCUGAAGGUCAGUCUUUAAUCAGCCUUUAGUGGGUGUCUGAAUAUGUCCAGGGUGACUCACUUCUUCCCCCUGUGCUGGGUUCCUCCUCUCUGUCAUAGAGGUUACGAUAGCACUAAACAGCGGCAUCAUAUUAACCGCCGUUAUACCUCCCACCUAAUAUUCAGUACCAUUGACCUUGGUAAACCUGAAUAUCAAGCAGGACAGAUAACCUCACUGGUAUGACUCAUUUUUAUCUCUUAAGAAAAAGAAGGCUGAGGGGUGAUCUGAUAGAGAUCUUUAAAAUUAUGAAAGGUUUUGAUAGUGGACAAAGAGAAUGUUUCCAUUUGUGGAACCAGAAGCCAUCAAUAAAAGAUAGUCACCAAGAAAUCCAAUAGGGAAAUCAGAAAAAAACUUGCUUACUCAAAGAGCAGUGAGAAUGUGAAACUGUCUACCACAAGGACUGGUUGAAGGAUAGAUGCAUUUACAGGGAAACUAGAAGUAUAUGAGGAAGAAGAAAACUAAGGGUGUUGCUGGCAAAUUUAGAUAAGGAAAAAUGGGAGGAGGCUGAAAUGGAACAUAAAUGGCAACAGGGCCUGGUUGUGCCAAAGAGCCUAUUUCUGUGCCAUAUAUCCAAUGGUAUGUAAACUAUGUAUGUAAACAGGUGGCCAAUGCAAUACUGUCUAUUUUCUACUACCAAUCAAAAUGAAUUUCAAUCCAUUAUCUGGCAGCAUUGCUGACUUACAAACAUUAUUCUGUAGGGAACAAGAGCGCCAAGAAAUGCCUACUACAGAGAGGGACUAGGGGUCAUCUGGUUGGAUGAUGUGAGUUGUAACAGGACAGAGCCUGCCCUCGAUCAAUGCUCUGCCAACCCAUGGGUGGGGAAUAACUGCACGCAGACAGGAUCCUGAGUCCUAACCCACUCGGUGGCACAGAAGGUUGGGCAUAGCCAUACUGUCCCACCAAACCAUUCUUGCUUCCAUGUGUUUGCUGAUAGAUCAAGGGCCAACCCCAAACUUAGGGUUGUGCAAUGAGUGUGAGACUGAAAGAGGUAAGGAGUUACACACUCUGCAAGAAGUAUUGUAGAUAAGAUUCAAUGUUUAAUCUUGUGUUAUUAUCCACUUCAAUGUUAUUCUUCCAGAAUAGUUGAGAGAAUUAGUGAUUGCAUUUGCCACCAAUGUCCUUGAAUGCCAGCACCAGAUGGUCCAAGAGCUGCCCAGUAUUAAUUCUCCUUCCAACCUUCCUUCAUCACUGCCUGUACAGUUAUCAUAGCCUGUACAUGCCAUUUUCCACUUGCAGGUGUUGAUGUCAAGAACUGACAGUGGAACUCAAACCUGUAUCAAUCCUUUCUCAGUGCCUUUGUGCUACCCCUGGUUAACUAUUGUAAUAUUUAGUCUGAUGAAAACCAAAAGGGUAAGUAUAUUACAUGGCAUUUCAAAAUGUAACUAACAGCAAACAGAUUGCAAGGUUAAAUUUUCUCUUCAUUUAUCAAGUUGGUGUGGAAAAGUCCUAGCUUGUGUGGUGAAUGGACUUGUUAGAAGCUGUUGAAACAAAUGUGUAAGAGACUUGACUUGAUGCUCAAAUGGGCAAUUAAAAAUAGGAAUUAAAUAAUGAGAAAA
Molecule: long non-coding RNA, 3273 nt
Organism: Carcharodon carcharias (great white shark)
Lineage: Eukaryota; Metazoa; Chordata; Chondrichthyes; Lamniformes; Lamnidae
Exons: 2
Source: RefSeq, a predicted model, not a curated record